UAAGCAUAUCAAUAAGCGGAGGAAAAGAAACUAACAAGGAUUCCCCUAGUAACUGCGAGUGAAGCGGGAAAAGCUCAAAUUUGAAAUCUGGCAGUCUCUUUUUUCUUCUUUGGCUGUCCGAGUUGUAAUCUAGAGAAGUGCUUACCUGCACUGGACCAUGUAUAAGUCUCCUGGAAUGGAGCAUCACAGAGGGUGAGAAUCCCGUCUUUGACAUGGACUGCCAGUGUGUUGUGGUGUGCUCUCAAAGAGUCGAGUUGUUUGGGAAUGCAGCUCUAAAUGGGUGGUAAACUCCAUCUAAAGCUAAAUACUGGCGAGAGACCGAUAGUGAACAAGUACCGUGAGGGAAAGAUGAAAAGGACUUUGGAAAGAGAGUUAAACAGUAUGUGAAAUUGUUGAAAGGGAAACGCUUGAAGUCAGUUAUGUUGGCUAGGGAUCAACCUAGCUGUUUUUUGCUGGGUGAAUUUCCUAGUCUGACAGGCCAACAUCAGUCUUGACUGCUGGAAAAGAGCAGAGGGAAUGUGGCACCUUUGGGUGUGUUAUAGCCCUUUGUCAUAUGUGACAGUUGGGACUGAGGGAUGCAGCGUGCCAUGAGGCUGGGUCUUGACCACGUACACGCUUAGGAUGUUGGCUUUUAAUGGCUUCAAUCGA
RNAcentral lists this ribosomal RNA (648 nucleotides) under Amanita velosa. Its description in RNAcentral is "eukaryotic LSU rRNA". It matches the Rfam family "Eukaryotic large subunit ribosomal RNA", at positions 35 to 647 of the family's 3401-position model. Lineage: Eukaryota; Fungi; Basidiomycota; Agaricomycetes; Agaricales; Amanitaceae. The record is from RNAcentral.